RNAcentral lists this unclassified non-coding RNA (200 nucleotides) under uncultured Phlebia. Its description in RNAcentral is "sequence contains ITS1". The record is from RNAcentral. Lineage: Eukaryota; Fungi; Basidiomycota; Agaricomycetes; Corticiales; Corticiaceae.
UUGAAUCCCAAUUGGAUAAGAUAGCUGCUGGCUUUCGGGCAUGUGCGCAUCUUGUUCAUUUACCUCUCACCUCUGUGCACUUUUCAUGGAACAAUCAGUGGUUGUUGGCUUCACUGCUGACGACUGCAGGUUGCUUCUGUGUAUUUUAUAAACCUCAGAAUCAGUUUAGAAUGUACAUCGUGUAUCCACACAUUUAAAUA